GCAGUGGUGGCUCAGCGGUAAAGUCCUCCCCUUCCGCGUGGGAGACCUGGGUUCGGUUCCCGGCCAAGGCA
RNAcentral lists this transfer RNA (71 nucleotides) under Loxodonta africana (African savanna elephant). It matches the Rfam family "tRNA". Rfam says of the family: Transfer RNA (tRNA) molecules are approximately 80 nucleotides in length. The record is from Rfam by way of RNAcentral. Lineage: Eukaryota; Metazoa; Chordata; Mammalia; Proboscidea; Elephantidae.